This 404-nucleotide ribosomal RNA is filed under the name uncultured Candidatus Solibacter sp. Its description in RNAcentral is "bacterial SSU rRNA". It matches the Rfam family "Bacterial small subunit ribosomal RNA", at positions 355 to 776 of the family's 1533-position model. Lineage: Bacteria; Pseudomonadati; Acidobacteriota; Terriglobia; Bryobacterales; Solibacteraceae. The record is from RNAcentral.
UGGGGAAUCUUGCACAAUGGGGGAAACCCUGAUGCAGCGACGCCGCGUGAGCGAUGAAGCCCUUCGGGGUGUAAAGCUCUUUCGGCAGGAACGAUAAUGACGGUACCUGCAGAAGAAGCUGCGGCUAACUACGUGCCAGCAGCCGCGGUAAUACGUAGGCAGCAAGCGUUGUUCGGAGUUACUGGGCGUAAAGAGUGUGUAGGCGGUUCUCUAAGUUUGGUGUGAAAUCUCCCGGCUUAACUGGGAGGGUGCGCCGAAAACUGGAGGGCUCGAGUGCGGGAGAGGAGAGCGGAAUUCCUGGUGUAGCGGUGAAAUGCGUAGAUAUCAGGAGGAACACCUGUGGUGUAGACAGCUCUCUGGACCGCCACUGACGCUGAGACACGAAAGCGUGGGUAGCAAACAGG